Molecule: long non-coding RNA, 3250 nt
Organism: Aedes albopictus (Asian tiger mosquito)
Lineage: Eukaryota; Metazoa; Arthropoda; Insecta; Diptera; Culicidae
Exons: 2
Source: RefSeq, a predicted model, not a curated record
UCAACGGAAAACACUUCGCUAUCCGCCGCCAAUCAAGCUACGGACUUCAGCAGGAUAAAGUACAAUUAAGCAAAAUUUCAUCCAUACCAAAUCCAUACACACAUUUCUAUGAUAAAAAUGAUUACAUUAUAUUUAUUACGGACGCAUAGACGGGCUCACCUCAAAAUCGACGCAAGAGAGAAACAGAGAGAAAAGCGCAAGCCGAUAUGUAAACAAACACCAGUGGACAAGCGUGCGCAUGCGCGAGCUGGUGAGGACGAAAAUUAUCGUUCUGUCAAACAUAAGUCCGCUCUGGAGCAGAAUUAUUUUUGACAGUUCGAAAAUCAAGGAAAAAUAAUUUUCGAACUGUCAAAUUUAAUUAAAAUUAUUUUUAAUAUCCCAAUUGAGACAGACCCUUAACGUAGGAGCAACACGUGCGUGAGAUUCUCUCUCUCGGUUGGUGUGGUUUGUUUUGAUUCAAUCUGACAUUUCUUUUAUGCUGCUCAUGCUGCUGAUGCUGCCAGCUGAUGGUGGCAAGGAUGGAGGAGCAUAGUCGAAGGGGUGCUCCAAUGUGUUUUCGGAAGAAUUCGUCGAGAUAAAAAGUUUUCGUUAUAAAAAAUAUGGAAAAUUCUAGUUUAAAAGUUCAGCAUUAAACUUUUCAAUGCGUGUUACAUAUAUUAUUUUACAGAGAAUCAGUCUAGAGGUCGUUUAACGUAAUAAGAGCAUUAACAUAAAAGUCUAUAAUUUUACAAGAACGCAUUGAAACGCCCCUUGUGUGGGGGAUAUAAUGAGUGCAAUUAAACGGCGAUUCCCAACCAGCUCAAACAAAUUCCCUUGGAAUUCAUCUUCGAAGUAAAAUCACAAUAUCCGACUAAUGGUGUACUUAGUAUCCGACCAAUCGCAAGAACAGCGGGACUAACGCCAAUAAUAAUCAUAAGCUUACACGCUUAAACUGCUCCGCACAUCGCAUGAGUAACAGUUACUCACUGUGGAGCAUCGCUGCAAAUCCGGGAGAAUGUGUGAAAAUUAUGUGUACGUCAUACUCACGCCGUGAGCUGAUGGCCACUUACUCAUUUUUGAGCUCCUGGUUUGUGUUGACAAACGCUCCAAAAAGCGAGCGUUGGUCAAUAAACGCUAUUAAAAAAAUAAAAAGAAAAGUUUUUCGUUGUGGGGAUCACCGAAAGUGAAGAAAUGCAUUGUUAUGUUAUCUUCUGUGAUGCAGAUUAGAAAAUAUGCCGAUUCGGAACCACCACGAGUAUGAGUGAGCGUUUUGGUCAAGUUUUGACUCACUCGAUAACAUUCGGUUACGAACAGGAGGAAUGGCCAAAGCACCGGUUCACGGAAUUUACUUCUAUUCCUGCGUCAUUAGCAGAGAUUCGUUGGAUGUUAACACAAGAGUUUACCAAACGUAAUCAGAAUGUCCAUCAGGCCCAUCGAAAUAUUUUUUUCUUCAAAAUUAUGUAUUUUUUUAUAAUUAUAUUAUUGUAAAUCUUAAACUACCACAAACAAUUGAGUUUUAUUUAUCACAAAAACAACAUUGAAAUAAAAUAAAUUUUGUCAAAUGUGCAACUUUCACACAUUUCCGAAGCAAGCGAAGCAUACGCAUUUAUGUGUAACGGUUACUCAUUCUUCCGGAAUGGUGACGAAACGCUUCAAUGUGUGAAGCUUACUCAUGCUGCUUUGGCUCUCAAGCACUUGCUCAAAAAUGAGUAAGGCCCCUCUUGCUCACUUUAGGAGUGCCAUGGGAUGAAUAUAAAUUUGAGUAGAUCUUGCUCAUUAUUGAGUGGACCGACUUCUGCGUGUAGUUUGAAAGAACGGCCUAUCUUUUGAAGAAGGCCUAAUUUCUUGUUUGUUGAUCGAGAGGAUAACGCCAAAACUUCAGCACAGAGUAGUCAACACUUUGAACUUAAUAGUGUUCACGACUGAUCUACUCGGAAUUACUACGUUUCGUUAAAAUGAACAAUAGUUCAUAAAAAAUAAAAUGCGGAUGCAGAAAAAACACCAAAAUCGCGAGAAUGCAGCAUUCUUAUUUGAAUAAGCUGUUCUUUUGAAACCAUGGUUUGAAUCCAAAUUUUAAAAAUAAAACGUCAAGGUUCCCCAUAAAAUAACAACUUAAAAGAACAGCCCAUUGAAAGAAGGGCAAAUUUCUGGUAAAAAAUGACAUCAAAUUGAAUUUAAUUUCCUUGAAGAUAGAACUAGAAAGAAAAGCCUAUUAACAAAAGAAGGGACAAUUCCAAUAAAUGUUUCCACAGCUAUAUUGUUGAAAAUGUCUAUAACAGUAUAAGUCUUAUACAGAGCCCGUUCGCUCGUUGCAAACUCGCUCAUUGCAACGCUUUUGAUUGCAAGUCCGCUAAUUGCAAAAUUUGACACGUGUUUGCAAUUAAAAAGCAAUCAAGUGUCAAAUUUAUGCUGUCAGUCUAAAGACACUGUAUGCUAACGACACGAAAUCUGAUGAUUGUUGCUGUUGAUGAUGAUUGUCGCGUCAUGACAAUGAUGCUGUCGAGUAAUGCUUUUAAAGCGCGUUUGACAGGUCUCCUGCUCGAUUGGAAUGACAUUGACAGCAAAUUUGAAAUUCCAAUUGGAACAUUUCGUGUCUUUGCAUAUAGUGUCUUUAUGUCAGUCAUGCUGGCAGUGCAUUUCGAUGGGUUCUGUCACAUUCGCCCGAAAACCAUUCGCCCGAAUUCCAAAUGCCCGAAUGACAAACGCCCGAAUGUAACAAACGCCCGAAAGUCAUUCGCCCGAACAGACCAUUCGCCCGAAAAGACCAUUCGCCCGAAAUACCAUUCGCCCGAAAGACCACUUGCCCGAAAAUCCGAAUCAUAAAAAUACUUUUCUGAAAUCAAUUAAGGCGUCGUUCACGCGUAUUGCUUUCGUUGAACACAGUCUGAUAUAAAACUUAUACUGUUAUAAACAUUUUCAGCAAUAUAGCUGUGGAAACAUUUAUUGGAAUUGUCCCUUCUUUUGUUGAUAGGCUUUUCUUUCUAGUUCUAUCUUCAUGGAAAUUUAAUUCAAUUUGAUGUCAUUUUUACCAGAAAUUCGCCCUUCUUUCAAUCAUGGGCUGCUCUUUUAAGUUGUUAUUUUAUGGGGAACCUUGACGUUUUAUUUUUUACAACUUCUGGAUUCAAAACAUGGUUUCAAAAGAACAGCUUAUUCAAAUAAGAAUGCUGCAUUCUCGCCAUUUUUCUGCAUCCGUUAGCUCACACGUUUUAAUUUUUAUGAACUAUUGUUCGUUUUAACGAAACGUAGUUAUUCCGAGUAAAUCAGUUGAACA